This 422-nucleotide ribosomal RNA is filed under the name Aporops sp. UKNHM-BRC T804. RNAcentral's name for it is "partial 12S ribosomal RNA". It matches the Rfam family "Bacterial small subunit ribosomal RNA", at positions 775 to 1398 of the family's 1533-position model. Lineage: Eukaryota; Metazoa; Chordata; Actinopteri; Perciformes; Serranidae. The record is from RNAcentral.
GGAUUAGAUACCCCACUAUGCUUGGCCUUAAACAUUGAUGGAGCAUUACAUUUCACCAUCCGCCCGGGAACUACGAGCAUCAGCUUAAAACCCAAAGGACUUGGCGGUGCUUUAGAUCCACCUAGAGGAGCCUGUUCUAGAACCGAUAACCCCCGUUCAACCUCACCUUUUCUUGUUUUUCCCGCCUAUAUACCGCCGUCGUCAGCUUACCCUGUGAAGGUUCCAUAGUAAGCAAAAUUGGUACAGCCCAAAACGUCAGGUCGAGGUGUAGCGUAUGAAAAGGGAAGAAAUGGGCUACAUUCCUCAGCCAUGAGGAACACGAAGACUAUGCUGAAACGCAUUUUUAAAGGAGGAUUUAGCAGUAAGAGAAAAAUAGAGUGUUUCUCUGAACUUGGCCCUGAAGCGCGCACACACCGCCCGUC